RNAcentral lists this small nuclear RNA (270 nucleotides) under Neotoma lepida (desert woodrat). RNAcentral describes it as "7SK RNA". It matches the Rfam family "7SK RNA". Rfam says of the family: 7SK was discovered as an abundant small nuclear RNA in the mid-70s but a possible function has only recently been suggested. The record is from Rfam by way of RNAcentral. Lineage: Eukaryota; Metazoa; Chordata; Mammalia; Rodentia; Cricetidae.
UGAUGUGAGGGUGGUCUGGCUUCAGCUUCUGUCCCCCACUGCUCAUCAGGGUUGAUUCACCUGGUCUGGCUGGCUAGAUCUGGACAGUUGUCCCCCUCCUCCCUCACUGGUCCACAUCUCAUUCUAAGAGGACUCCCAUCCCUGGGAGAGAACCAUUCUUUGGUCAAGAGGGUGUGAGUACCUGCACUCCCCUUCACAGAAGCUCGGAGGAUCUGACUGUCGUCACGCUAACCCAGGCAUUGAUUGAUUUAUGCAUCACUCCUGGUAUUA